AAUAAGGCUUCUAUGAACAUAGUGAAGCCACCAAUAGAUUGGGAAAGGAUAUAU
Mus musculus (house mouse) is the source of this 54-nucleotide non-coding RNA. The record is from Rfam. Lineage: Eukaryota; Metazoa; Chordata; Mammalia; Rodentia; Muridae.